This is a non-coding RNA of Nothobranchius furzeri (turquoise killifish), 3816 nucleotides long. The record is from RefSeq and is a predicted model, not a curated record. Lineage: Eukaryota; Metazoa; Chordata; Actinopteri; Cyprinodontiformes; Nothobranchiidae.
GAUAGAUAGAUAGAUAGAGUAGCAGACAGGGAAGUACAAAAGUAUAAGAAUAGGCAGAAGUAAUAUAAACUAUUGGUGCUUUACUAUACUAGAGUAACAUGUUUCAUGGUUGUAUAUUUGUAGUUAUAAACAGAUAUGCGUUUGUGGAAAAUUAAUCUACAAUAAAAACAUCUGUUGCACAGCGAUGGUAUGCAUGUUGUCUUGAAGCCAUAUUUACUAUGGCAGAGAUGGCCAAAUGAGCAGCCGAUUAGUCUCUGUAGGGCAGUGGUUUCUAAUCCAAUAGCAAUCACUGCGUGGUUUUAAUCAGUGAGGUACUUCUGCAGAGCUUGUUGACAUGCUGAUCAUGUAAUUCAAGCUUUGAAUUGGAAGUGUUGGAGCAGACAAACAGUGAGGACCGCAGUGAGGCGUCCUGAAGAGAGAUGGGUUGUCUGUGGUGGGGAGCAGUUUGUGCAGAGACGACCUGUCUCUCAUGCCCUAGGACCAGAUUUCCAUGGUUUUCCUUAGGAUGAAGGUGGUGAAUUUGAAACAAGCCAUUUUGCAGGCGUGGAAGGAACGAUGGAGUGAUCACCAGUGGGCCAUCAACAUUAAAAAAAACUUCCCAAAGGGCCAAACAUGGGACUACCUUAAUUUUGCUGAGGCACUGAUGGAGCAGGCGAUGAUCGGUCCCUCUCCCAACCCGCUGAUUCUGUCUUACCUUAGAUAUGCUAUAAGCUCACAGAUGGUGUCCUAUUCCAGCGUACUAACAGCCAUCAGCAAGUUUGAUGGCUUUUCUCGGGAGCUGUGUGUCAUGUCAUUGUUGGAGAUAAUGGACAUGUUCUGCCAUCGUCUCAACUGUCACGGAAAAGCAGAGGACUGCAUCGGGCUGUGCCGGGCCCUGCUGGGGGUGCUCGUGUGGCUGCUGCAGGGCUGUGCGUUUUACUGCGAGAAGUUAAGAGAGCUGGGCCCGUCUCCCAGCAUCGAGGCCGCUCUCAAAGCCUGCCAGGAGAGGCUCCACCACCUGAUGAGCAGCACUAAGAUCAGAGCUCUGGUCCACAUUGCCCGACUGGAGGACCAAGGUUCCUGGGGUAACGCUGAACAAGCAGUGCUCAAGGUGUCUGACGGCCUUGUUAACGUGCCAAACCAAACACUCAGAGCUAAACUAGAGGAAAGCUUGUCUCUAGUUAAAAGCAUCCCGCUGAUGCUCUCGGUACAAAGUGACCCGCCAGUCCGUGCCUCUUUCCCAUCAGUUCAUGCUUUCAUCAUGCUGGAGGGGACCAUGAAUCUAACGGGGGAGAUCCAGCCCAUGGUGGAGCAGCUAAUGAUGAUCAAAAGAAUGCAGCGAAUCCCUGCUCCUCUUUUUAUCUUGGAGAUAUGGAAGGCGUGUUUCACCGGACUCAUCGAGUCACCAGAGGGCACAGAAGAGCUGAAAUGGACUGCCUUUACUUUCCUCAAAAUCCCACAAGUUCUGCUCAGACUAAAGAAGUAUCCUCAGAGUGAUAAAGGACAGGAUUUUGUUGAGGACGUGAACGCUGCGUUUCAGUUUUUACUUAAACUCACCCCGCUGUUGGACAAAGCAGAUCAGAGAUGCAACUGUGACUGCCUCAGCAUGCUUCUGCAGGAGUGCAACAAGCUGGGGCUGCUGUCAGACCCAAACACGGAGAACCUCACAUCCAAACGCACCGAGGACAGAGAGUUCUCCCCAAGGCUAAAAACAGCAGAAAAUGCAAACAUCCAACCGAACCCAGGCCUUAUCCUGAGAGCUGAGCCCACUGUCACCAAUAUUCUGAAGACGGUAGAUGCAGACCACUCAAAGUCACCCGAGGGUCUUCUAGGUGUUCUUGGACACAUGCUGUCAGGGAAGAGCCUGGAUCUGCUUCUGGCAGCGGCGGCGGCCACUGGAAAACUCAAAUCGUUUGCCAGGAAAUUCAUCAAGCUCAAUGAGUUUCCAAAGCACAUCAGUGGAGAAGGAUCUAAGUCUGCUUCUGUACGAGCCCUGCUUUUUGAUAUUUCAUUCCUCAUGCUCUGCCAUGUUGUGCAGACAUAUGGGUCUGAGGUGAUCUUGUCAGACCCCAGUCCCUCAGGAGAGACACCCUUUUUUGAAACGUGGCUGCAGACGUGCAUGCCUGAAGAGGGCAAGACGCUGAACCCGGACCAUCCCUGCUUCAGGCCUGAGCCUGGAAAAGUGGAGAGCCUGGUGACCCUGUUGAACAACUCCUCAGAGAUGAAACUAGUUCAAGUGAAGUGGCAUGAAAUCUGCCUCAGCACUCCGGCAGCUAUCCUGGAAGUUCUGAAUGCGUGGGAGAAUGGCGUCCUCUCUGUGGAGGCUGUGCAGAAGAUCACAGACAACAUCAAGGGGAAGGUGUGCAGCAUGGCCAUCUGCGCAGUGGCCUGGCUGGUGGCCCACGUACGGAUGCUGGGGAGGGACGAGAGAGAGAAACCUCAGACGAUGAUCCGACAGCUCGUGACUCCAAAUUUUGCGGAAAACACCCUGCAGUUUUAUAACGAGCGUGUGAUCAUAAUGAGUUCCAUCAUGGAGCACAUGUGCGCCGAUGUUUUCCAACAAACGGGUGCCGUCCUGCGGGCCCCGGUCGAGGGCCAGGAGCCAAUCCCCUACCGCAACCUGCUGCCCGCUAAAGAACCAAUUCAUAAAGCCCUCAGUAAGCAGUUCCAGGUGGUGCUGCGCAAAGGCUGGGUGGACAGCCGGGCUCUGCAUCUGUUUGAGAGCCUCCUCAACAUGGGGGGGGUCUUCUGGUUCACCAACAACCUGAUCAAGGAGCUUCUGAAAGAGACACGUCAGGAGUGGGCCACGCGGGUGGUGGAGUUGCUCUACAGCAUCUUCUGUUUGGACACCCAUCAGAUCACCCUGACGCUGCUCGGUACCAUUUUACCCAACCUGCUCACUGACUCCGCCCACUGGCACAGCCUUUCAGACCCUCCUGGGAAGGCUUUGGCCAAGUUGUCUGUGUGGUGUGCGCUCAGCUCUUUCUCCUCUCACCACAAAGGCCCCCUCUCAGCACGGCAGAGAAAAAGGCAGAGAGAAGACAUAGAGGACUACAACAGCCUCUUUCCUCUGGACGAUACUCAGCCGUCCAAACUCAUGCGGCUGCUGAGCUCCAAUGAGGAUGAGCCUGCAGCUCUGUCCAGUCCAGCUUCGGAGACAAAUUCCCAGACAAGACGUUGCAUGACUCAGGAAAAACUUCAAGGCCCUUUACACUUUGCUGUCAAGACUGAAAGAGAUCGAUCGAUGAGCAGCUCCCUGUCUGCCUCCCAGCUUCACACGGUCAACAUGAGGGACCCUCUCAACAGAGUCCUGGGCAGCAGUAGCUCAACAGGUUGAGCGGGUUGUCCAGUAAUCGGAAGGUUGCAGGUUCGAUCCCGGCUCCGGACAGAGAAUUCUGCUGUUGUGUCCUUGGGCAAGACACUUAACCCACCUUGGGGUGGUCGGAGGGACUGGUGGCGCCUCUGUCAGUGCGCCCCAGGGCAGCUGUGGCUACAUUGUAGCCCAUCAACAUCAGUGUGUGAAUGUGUGUGUGAAUGAUACACUGUAGUGUAAAGGGUGUGGUCUGCUCUCUCUCCCCUCCCCCUCAGCCAACCUGUUCCUCCUGGUUUCCUCCAUCUUGGGCUCUAAGAUGGCCGGACCUCACACCCAAUUUGUGCAGAGUUUUCUGGAGGAAUGUGUCGACUGCCUAGAGCAGGGAAGCCGUGGGAGCAUCCUGCAGUUCAUGCCUUUCACAAUGGUCUCUGAGCUGGUGAAGCUGCCCGCUUUGGCCAAACCCAGAAUCAUCCUGGCUAUCACCGACCUGACUCUGCCUCUGGGGAGGAGAGUCGCUGCCAAAG